GUUAAGUCGGGGAUGAAAUCCUGGAGCUCAACUCCAGAACUGCCUGCGAAACUGACGAUCUGGAGUGCGGGAGAGGUGAGUGGAACUGCGAGUGUAGAGGUGAAAUUCGUAGAUAUUCGCAAGAACACCAGUGGCGAAGGCGGCUCACUGGCCCGAUACUGACGCUGAGGUGCGAAAGCGUGGGGAGCAAACAG
This 194-nucleotide ribosomal RNA is filed under the name uncultured bacterium. RNAcentral's name for it is "partial 16S ribosomal RNA". It matches the Rfam family "Bacterial small subunit ribosomal RNA", at positions 582 to 775 of the family's 1533-position model. The record is from RNAcentral.